GAUGAACGCUAGCGGCAGGCGUAAUACAUGCAAGUCGAACGGGUGUAGCAAUACAUUAGUGGCGCACGGGUGCGUAACGCGUAACCAACCUACCCUUGACUGGGGGAUAGCCCGCCGAAAGGCGGAUUAAUACCGCAUAUACCGGCAGCCUGGCAUCAGGGAACUGGGAAAGAUUUAUUGGUCAAGGAUGGGGUUGCGUAGCAUUAGCUAGAUGGCGGGGUAACGGCUCACCAUGGCGACGAUGCUUAGGGGACCUGAGAGGGUGAUCCCCCACACUGGCACUGAGAUACGGGCCAGACUCCUACGGGAGGCAGCAGUAGGGAAUAUUGGGCAAUGGCCGAGAGGCUGACCCAGCCAUGCCGCGUGCCGGAUGAAGGCCUUCUGGGUUGUAAACGGCUUUUCUCAGGGAAGAAAAAGAGGAUGCGUCCUAAACUGACGGUACCUGAGGAAUAAGCACCGGCUAACUCCGUG
Molecule: ribosomal RNA, 471 nt
Filed under: uncultured bacterium
Lineage: Bacteria
Description: bacterial SSU rRNA
Rfam family: Bacterial small subunit ribosomal RNA
Source: RNAcentral